Long non-coding RNA from Achroia grisella, 302 nucleotides. RefSeq lists it as uncharacterized. The record is from RefSeq and is a predicted model, not a curated record. Lineage: Eukaryota; Metazoa; Arthropoda; Insecta; Lepidoptera; Pyralidae. The transcript has 3 exons.
UUUCCUUUUUCUAUAUAAUUCUUUUACGAGUGGGUCGACAUAUUGUGUUGUCGCUAUGACAUCGAAAUCUUAAAUUUAUAUUGCAAUCAUUGAAUAUAACAGUUAUUUUUCAUAACUAUCACUAAAAGUUUUAUUAAUUUGAUAUGAGAGCAAAGUGGCGUAAGAAGCGUAUGCGGAGGCUAAAACGUAAAAGGAGGAAGAUGCGUGCAAGGUCCAAAUAAAAUGGUACAUUGUGGGCGUAAUACGAUUAAUAUCUCUUACUACUGCUUGUGCAAAAUAAAAAAAAUAUAAAAAUCUUAUAA